This 429-nucleotide ribosomal RNA is filed under the name Bacillota bacterium. RNAcentral describes it as "Firmicutes bacterium partial 16S ribosomal RNA". It matches the Rfam family "Bacterial small subunit ribosomal RNA", at positions 355 to 776 of the family's 1533-position model. The record is from RNAcentral. Lineage: Bacteria; Bacillati; Bacillota.
UAGGGAAUCUUCCACAAUGGACGCAAGUCUGAUGGAGCAACGCCGCGUGAGUGAAGAAGGUUUUCGGAUCGUAAAGCUCUGUUGUUGGUGAAGAAGGAUAGAGGCAGUAACUGGUUUUUAUUUGACGUUAAUCAACCAGAAAGUCACGGCUAACUACGUGCCAGCAGCCGCGUUUAUACGUAGGUGGCAAGCGUUGUCCGGAUUUAUUGGGCGUAACGCGAGCGCAGGCGGUAUGAUAAGUCUGAUGUGAAAGCCCACGGCUCAACCGUAGAGCUGCAUCGGAAACUUUCAUUCUUGAGUGCAGAAGAGGAGAGUGGAAUUCCAUGGGUAGCGGUGGAAUGCGUAGAUAAAUGGAAGAACACCAGUGGCGAAGGCGGCUCUCUGGUCUGCAACUGACGCUGAGGCUCGAAAGCAUGGGUAGCGAACAGG